AGUAAGCCUGUAAAUAUUUGGGGUUUUAAAAAAUAUUUUAAAACCACUUCAUCUUUCAUUGUAAUGGAACUCUUGUUAGCACAUGCCCUUCUCAGAUCCUUGGAUGUUCUCCCCUUCUCUCCUUACAGAGAGAUAUUGAUCCUGAUCAAUACUCUACUAAUCCUGUAUCAAAUUCUGAUUAAUAUGUCAAAUCAAUAAAACAAGCACAGAAAAAUAGAUGUGCAAAAUCUUUUAAAAUGUGGCUAUUUUCCUCGUGUUGUGGCCCAUUAGCCAUGGUUUUUAAACCAGUUUCUCAUAAAAUAAAAAUUUUUGCAAAGAAAAGAGGGAUUGUUUUGUUUCUAGAGAAGUUUUGAAUUCUUUUUAGUUGACUCUGCUAAGCAGAUUAAAUGCUUCUGAUUUGUGGUACAGGUGUCCUAAAGGAUGGAUGUCUGCCCAAACAUAUUAGAAGUUAAAAAUCACCAUUUUUUUGUCACAUUUCAGCAUAUAGGCAUGUAGUAAUAGUAAGACAGAGAGUACUAUAGCUAUAUUCUCUGAAAAAGAGUCAUCUUCCUUCCUGAACAUGUUUAGCACUAUAAAACUGGAUAAAAAUAAAGAAUAUACCCUGUAAACAAAAAUAUAGCAAAUUAUUACCAUAGUAUUUCUCACAAGAAUAGGUCACUGUAUUUUGAAGAGACAGCUUGGGGUUUCUUUUAUUGUUUUCCUAGAAUUUUUGAUGAAGUUCCCAGUGUUCCCAGAUCUCUGUAUCGAAUGUCCACCCUUAGAGAUAAGUUCAAGGCACUCGGGACAUGCCAGAAUGAGACAUCAAAAACAUCUCCACUUACCACGUUGCUUUGCCCUGGUAGCCCACUCAGACACUUCAUCCUGGGCCCGUCCAUCUGUAAACACAAUGGCGAUUCGAGGGACAUUUGCUGAAGAUGGUCUUGCUCCUUCUGUCUCUGUGAAGCUUCUCUCAGACAUUUGCCUCAGUGCCAGUCCUGUCAUGGAACCUCGGCCCAUGUAUUUCAUUUGUGACACAGCUUUCUUCAUGUCUUUGGCUGAGCUGAACUGCCUUAAUGUAAACUCUGUACGAACCUCAGUGGAAUACUGAAGCAAACCAACUCGAGCAGCUUUGGGUGAAAUCUCAAGUGUAUCCAAGAUUCCUGAGACAAACUGUUUUACAAUUUCAAAAUUAUCCUCUCCAAGACUUUUUGAUCCAUCAAUCACAAACACCAGGUCAAUUGGGCCUUCAGUGCAUCCUGUGAAAUGAGGAGCAGAGCGUACAGAUCAAGAAAAAACUCCACAAGGCUGGGAACAGAGCCAGAUAUCCUGGCAAAAACUCAGGGAUCAUCUGAAGUACCCUGUUCCUGGCUUGUCCUACCGUGCCAUUGUGUUUGGAGAUGUUGUGUACAGUCUGUCUCAAAAGCUAAGAGUGGGCCUAUGGCUGAGAAUUUAACAAAAUUAUAACUACGGUGAAUAUUUACUGAGCCAUAAUCUGCUUUGCAGAAUAUUAGAACUCUUAAAAAAUGCAGAAACAAUCAGCAAAUGUUAAGAAUUACUCUUAAGUGGAGAGAAUUCAAGAACAUAUCUAGAACAUAGACAGAGUUGCCAUCAUUUUCUUCCACAGAAGAAUGCUAACUUUGCAUUUGUCAAAUUUGUCAGCACUGAGAGACAUGGAAGAGAAUCAUUGAAGCUGCACUUGUGUUGCAGGAGUUAUAGAAUAGUUUUAAAACUAUUUAAUUAUUGAGAGAAUCAGAAUUGGCUAGAUAAGGGCUUUUUUGCUUUUAAGUGUCUACCAAUUUUGUAACUAGAAGACUUAUGUAUCGCUGCAAUUAAUCUUCUCUGGUUUACCCAUUAGAGCUGGGAGUUUGUCAAGAGACAGGCAAAUUUGUAAAAUUUGUAUUUCCCAUACUUUUUGGCAAAUGCAUAUACAAAAAUCAAAGUAGUUUGUAGGCACUGGGCAUCAAUAAUGAGGUGAGGGACUUUAGAGACUGCAGAAUGUCUUCCAAGUUGCAGACUGUUUCUGUCAGGUGGGUUGUUUUGGUAUGUUUGGUUUUUUAUUUUAUUCUGGGAAGGAAUUGCCUUCAGCAGGCAGAGAUUAGUGUGCUUUGUGCAAAGGAUAGCUGCAGAUGUGCUCAGCUCCUAUUGGGUCAAUGUAGCUUCCAGGGCACAUACGCCAUACUAAGGAAUGUUAAGAGCUUCUUACACAGUCUGGACCAAAUAAACUUUGACCUCCACUCAUCUCUGAUCUUUGUACAGGGAGAAUUCUGUAGCAGUACACAAAAGAGAAUCGUGCAGCAGAAAUUACUCUGCAGAAAUUACUAGAGAUGCUUGUUACCAAGUCAAUGUACAAAUAAGGGGUUUUCAGCUUUAAAGCCUGGACUUUCCUUCUUUGAAAAUAUUUUAUUUUAAAACUGCUCAAGAAUUCUUUUUUGCAGUCAACUGAGAAAAAGACACCUCAUAUACUAAGGUGAUGAAAAUGUAAUGAAUAUAUAUAUAUAUAUAUAUAUAUAUAUAUCAGAACCACUCAAUACUACUGCAUAA
This is a long non-coding RNA of Parus major (Great Tit), 2520 nucleotides long. RefSeq lists it as uncharacterized. The transcript is spliced from 2 exons. NCBI's taxonomy places the organism in Eukaryota, Metazoa, Chordata, Aves, Passeriformes, Paridae. The record is from RefSeq and is a predicted model, not a curated record.